UACGUAGGGGGCAAGCGUUGUCCGGAUUUAUUGGGCGUAAAGAGCGUGUAGGCGGCUUUACAGGUCCGUUGUGAAAACUCGAGGCUCAACUUCGAGCUGUCGGUGGAAACUGUCUGGCUAGAGUCCGGAAGAGGAGAAUGGAAUUCCUGGUGUAGCGGUGAAAUGCGCAGAUAUCAGGAAGAACACCCGUGGCGAAGGCGGUUCUCUGGGACGGUACUGACGCUGAGACGCGAAAGCGUGGGGAGCGAACAGG
This 253-nucleotide ribosomal RNA is filed under the name uncultured bacterium. Its description in RNAcentral is "partial 16S ribosomal RNA". It matches the Rfam family "Bacterial small subunit ribosomal RNA", at positions 524 to 776 of the family's 1533-position model. The record is from RNAcentral.